Molecule: unclassified non-coding RNA, 3345 nt
Filed under: Bos taurus (domestic cattle)
Lineage: Eukaryota; Metazoa; Chordata; Mammalia; Artiodactyla; Bovidae
Description: hypothetical LOC100126043
Source: RNAcentral
AACCCGGAAGCGGAGCGCGGCAAAUGGAGGUCUCUCAGCUCAGCGAUGUGUGCAACAUCUCUUACAACAUCUCACAGACUAUGAAUGUGUGUUUGGCUGAAGAAUUCUCAGGGGAGAUGGAGGUUACAGGUGGGAAUAUGUCAGGAGAGUACAUCGUCAGUGUUUUCACCACACACAAAACAUGGGAUUUUGGAGGUGAUGGAUGUGUUGGUUCGUGGAUUGUGAUAAAUAUUUCACGGUGUACACAUGUCACAUGGUCACAUGGUGUAUGACCUCUGAAGACUUGUGUUGCCUGAGGAAGAAGCCAAGAAGAUGAAAGAAAAUGUGUCAGGAAUUGCUCUUUCUCAGUUAACCUUCAAGGAUGUGUUCAUAGAUUUCACUCCCGAGGAGUGGGAAUGUCUGGACCCUGCCCAGAGGACCUUGUACAAGGACGUGAUGGUGGAGACCCUCAGGAUCCUGCUGUGGGUGAGGAUCACUUCCUUCCGAAGUGGUGGUAUACUUUGGGGUACCUCUGCAUGUUCCCUCUGUGUCUCUUGGGAGCCCCUGUUUUUCUUACUGAGAUCAAAGCCUUGUUGACUCUCACAUGUAAGGCUUCAUGAUUGGCAUCGGGAGUUCAAACUUGUCCUUUCUUCAGGUGACCUGCUCACUGUAUGAUACACAAGGAGCUUUUCCCGAGCUUGAGUGUUUAUAAAGCUGAUUUCAAACUUGUGAAGGAUCGAACCCAUGCCUCCUGUAUUUGCAGGCAUAGAGCCACCAGGAUGUUAAGGAAAUUAAAUAAAUAGUCUUGUUUAGGCUUCAAGACAAAGUAGUGCAUUCUUCUGACCUUCCUUCUAACCUGUCUGGACACACCCUGACUGUGAGUGCCUUGACUCCCUGCUGUGAAUGCAAGGCUUGUGGCACCAUAAAUAAGUUAGGGGACAAAUCUUGAGUUUGUUCAGCCCUUGGAAGGGGCUCUGACCAACCAAGCCCCAGGCUUAGCAGCAUCCAAGUUUUAUAAGAUGAAACAAACAGCAUUAAGAUGAAACCAGAGCUGCUGUUUCCUCACAGAUUGAUGAUGAUAUCAGUUCAUGUCCUGGGAUUAUAAGCAGUAACCUCGAACUGCAAUCUUUGAAGUCUCACCCACGGAAUGGACACACUGCCUGGGACGUUUUCCCAAUUGAGACUCCAGAUGUGCUGUGUCCUGGGAUUUGCCAGCGCUGUUUGAGUCUGGAUGUUGGUCAGAAGCCAAUUUGAUGAUAUAUCCUCUGCUGUUUCUAUUUCUCUUUGCUUUAAAUGGUAGUGUAUUGAGAGUCAGCUAGAUAAUUCUCUGUCUGUAUUAUGUAUUAUUUAUUUGUAUAGGGAUUCCCUGGUUUCUCAGAUGGCAGAGUCUGUGUGCAAUGUGGGAGACCUGUAUUCGAUCCCUGGGUUGGGAAGAUCCCCUGUAGAAGGAAAUGGCAACCCACUCCAGUAUUCUUGCCUUGAUAACCUUGUGGCCAGUUGAGCCUGGUGGGCUACAGUCCGUGGGGUCACUAAGAGUCAGACACGAGUGAACACCUUCACUUUCACUUUUUUCAUUUGUAUAGCACACAUGGCUUAUUUUAUUAACAAAUCCUUUAACCCUAAGAUGAAAGUGAAAACUUUUGGCAAAACAUUAAUUGGUGCUGUGAGUAGGAUUUGUGAGACAAAAUGCCACUCUGUAAGAAAAGAAGAGAUUAAGAUUGAUGAAGUUUUUAUUCCGAGAUGAAGGUUCAUCUUUACUCAUUAGCUAAUAAAUGGGAUGUAUUCACUGGAUUAUGUGAGAAUUGGGACCUUAAAUUCAGUGGGCUGAACCCUUAGAAGUUACUGAAUGUUUGUGACUCUCACCCCUUGAGAAAGGAUAAGAAUCUGCCCUGCUGGAUGAGAGGCUGGAUCCUCUUCUCUCCUACUGUGAAGUACAUAAAGCUAACUUAAAAUUGUCUGAAGAGAAGUUACAAAUGGAAACAGAAUUAUGUGAUUAGUGAGGAUGAUUGUCCACAUUACAAUGUCAAAUUAUAUUUUAGCUGAUCAAAUCCUCACUUUUUAAGUCGGCUCUCUAUUGAGCCAGCCCACAGCUCCAAUAGUGUCGCCUACUGCCCUUUCUCUCUCCAUUCUCUGUCCUUUUGUGGCCUUUCACCCCUCCCAACCCUUCUGUCUCCCUCUCUAUCAGCUGGUCCCCUUCUAACUUCCCCUGUCUCUCAGUGGGGAGGAUGAGCCCAGCUUCCCCCACUCCUGCCCCCAUUGUAGGAAGUUUCUUUACCCUUCAGAUUCUUCUGAUCAAACCAAUACCCCCAUCCCCACAGAGUGACAAUCUAAGAUUCUUAUCAGCCCAUCUGUCCCUCUUAUCACAGUCAAUUUGAGCACUAUUUGGUCUGUAAUUUAGCCAUGAAAUUUUAGCCAUGACUAUACAAAAGAAAGUAGCUUUUUUGAUACAGGAUGGCCAUGAUAUUCUUUAGACUCUGGAGAAAACAUAAUUUCUGUGAGUCUACUGCCUUUAUUUGUAAAAUUGGAAUAUUAGUGCUGUUAGGUUGUAUAGAAUAUUGCCUCUUUUACAGGAAAGAUCAGGAAUUUUUUUUUUUUUUUGGCUGCAGCAUGCGACAGGCAGUUGCAUCUUAGUUCCCCAUUCAUGGAUGGAAUCUGCUCCCCCUACAGUGGAAGCACAGAGUCCUAGCCAUUAGAGCACCAGGGAAUUUCCCUCAAAGAUUACUUUUGGGUAAAAAAUAUAUUAACUUUUUGUCAUGCUUAUUGUGACAUGUCCCUUUGUCUACAUUACAUCAUGUAUGUUGUUAAUUUGCAUUUUAUUUCUGACAGUGUUGUCUCUGACUCCAGGUAAUAAGUUUUUAAAGAAUAUUCCUUUCUUGUGAUAAGAAUACAUUUUUAAAAUAAUUUAUUUUUUAUUCAUUUUUGGCUGUGCUGGGUCUUCGUUGUGAUUCGGGCUUCUCUGUACUUCUGGCAAGCAGGGUCUACUCUCUGGUUACAGUGCACAGGCUUCUCACUGCAGUGCCUUCUCUUGUUGCAGUGUGUGGGCUCUAGGUACCCAGGCUUCAGUAGUUACAGGUGCCAGGCUCUAGAGCAUAGGCUUAGCUGCUCCGAGGCAUGUGUGAUCUCCCCAGACCAGCACUUGAACCUAUGUGCCCUGCACUGGCAGGUGCAUUCUUUACCCCUGAGCCACCAGGGAACCCCAAAGCAUGUUCCUUUACAUGUAUGUUGGGGCCAGUGAACUGGAUAAGUUGUAUAGAAAACGGAAUUGCUGUAUUGAAUGGCUAUUGUGUAAGUAGAGAAUAUUUCAUUUACUAAUUUUUUAAAUUUAGAGAUGAUGGUCUUUCUGAAUGUAUUAUCCAAUGUAACUGG